RNAcentral lists this ribosomal RNA (253 nucleotides) under uncultured bacterium. RNAcentral describes it as "partial 16S ribosomal RNA". It matches the Rfam family "Bacterial small subunit ribosomal RNA", at positions 524 to 776 of the family's 1533-position model. The record is from RNAcentral.
GACAGAGGGUGCGAACGUUGUUCGGAAUUACUGGGCGUAAAGCGCGUGUAGGCGGCAGCGCAAGUCGGGCGUGAAAUCCCACGGCUCAACCGUGGAAGUGCACUCGAAACUGCGCAGCUAGAGUCCUGGAGAGGAAGGUGGAAUGCUUGGUGUAGAGGUGAAAUUCGUAGAUAUCAAGCGGAACACCGGUGGCGAAGGCGGCCUUCUGGACAGUGACUGACGCUGAGACGCGAAAGCGUGGGGAGCGAACAGG